CCAGGACACACAACUGGAAAAGGAAAGGUUUCUGGCAGGGAACAUCUUCAGGUGAUCCCAUUGCAUCUGAGGAGAUGUAGCCCUGCUACCAGGUGGAGGUCAGGAGCUGCCCUGCACCUUUCCCUCCCGGGCGCUGCUCCUGCCAGCGUCUGCACGUCUGCCAGCCACGGCCCUUCCAAAGGAGCGAUAACAGGAGUUAGGUGCCUGGAGCAAACUAACGUCCUUCCACAGUCAUGAAAUGCAACAAAGGGACCCUGAUUCAGAGGGCAAGGUGAGGUUUGCAGUCUCUAUGGAAACUGAAGAACGACCUAAUGAAAGGCCAGACAAGGAAGCAACAAUGCAGGAUACACUACAUUUAUCCUGAGAGUCAGAGCGCAGGCCCCACUCUGGCCCCUGGCACCUACUGGAAGAGCCCGAAGACCUUGUGCAGGUCAAUACAAUACAAUUUUAAACUACAUAGAUUUUGCUCUGAAACUAACUUCUUUAAUACCGACAAGUUCCAAGAAACCUUUCACUAAAUGGAUCCAGCCAUGACCCUCCCCACCAGAGCCCAUGGGAGCGUGGCCAGCGUGGGAGAGGCUUGGACACAGCCGGAUGUCAGCAGUCACAGUUGAGACUACACUGCGUAGAGGAGGUUAUGCUUUCAUGUCAUUUUUAAUGAGCCUGAAAAUAACAUCUACCAUAACCUCCAACAUCUCUUUCAACAUCUCUUUCUAACACUUCUUAAACCAUAGCAGUCUCUGAAGAACAUCUGCUCUCCUCAGUAAUUUAGCAUCUUGCUCUCCUCACCUCCGACCAUUCCCCUGCUGAAGCACUUCCAUUUUUUGUUAGUGCUGCUGCUUCAAAACUCUGUCAGGGUCCUUCCUUUCACCUGCUGAGAAUUGCCAUCUUGGCAAAUCAGCCGUGCCACACUGCCUGCAAGGCUGCUGGUGCAGCUGUGCUGGCCACAGGUUGAACCACAAGGAGCCCUGCUGCAGCAGGUCUUGCCUGGGUAACUCACGCCACUACGGACUGCGCACACACACACAGCAGAUACGUAUUGACACGGAUACACUGUUGCCUAAAAUCCCACGGGAGACAUCACCUUAAAUUUAUAUACAAACAUUAUAUGUUUUAUGAUAGAUUCUGUAUAUAAAACAUUACAUCUUGCUGAA
Long non-coding RNA from Rhea pennata, 1154 nucleotides. RefSeq lists it as uncharacterized. The record is from RefSeq and is a predicted model, not a curated record. Lineage: Eukaryota; Metazoa; Chordata; Aves; Rheiformes; Rheidae. The transcript has 3 exons.